GGACUAACAGAUUGGUCGCGCCUUUGGUGUGUACUGGUCUAGUUGGUUUCUCCCUUCUGAUGAACCACGAUGUCAUUAAUUUGGUGUCGCGGGGAAUCAGGACUGUUACUUUGAGAAAAUUAGAGUGUUCAAAGCAGGCCUACGCCCGAAUACAUUAGCAUGGCAUAAUAAAAUAGGACG
This 180-nucleotide ribosomal RNA is filed under the name uncultured Glomeromycotina. RNAcentral describes it as "partial small subunit ribosomal RNA". Lineage: Eukaryota; Fungi; Glomeromycota. The record is from RNAcentral.